Zea mays is the source of this 109-nucleotide non-coding RNA. The record is from Rfam. NCBI's taxonomy places the organism in Eukaryota, Viridiplantae, Streptophyta, Magnoliopsida, Poales, Poaceae.
ACUCUCGUAUUCACUUUAAUCCACAUGUAUUGAGGUGGAUUGGAGUGGAUUUUAAACUAAUUUACACUCCAAUCCACUUCAAUACAUGUGGAUUGAGGUGAAUAAGAGA